CGCCCUUGCCUUGGGAAGAUGAAUCCUACCCACCAAUGAUGGGAGUGGAGCAAGAAGAUGAAUAAAACUGAGGCUCUGCUGACUUUGCCUGAGGCCAUUCAAACCCAGUGAAGCAUCACCCUCGGCAGUGCUACCUGUGCUGUGGCAGACCUCUGCGUCCCACGGUGCUCUGGAAGCCAGCCCAGCCACUCGGAGAUGGAGCUGUGCCUCCAGAAUCACAGACAGGAGCACCAGGAUGGCUUUGACUUGCAGAAGCACUG
This 260-nucleotide long non-coding RNA is filed under the name Numida meleagris (helmeted guineafowl). Its description in RNAcentral is "lncRNA (ENSNMEG00000013793.1)". The record is from RNAcentral. Lineage: Eukaryota; Metazoa; Chordata; Aves; Galliformes; Numididae.